Caenorhabditis elegans is the source of this 134-nucleotide non-coding RNA. The record is from Ensembl. NCBI's taxonomy places the organism in Eukaryota, Metazoa, Nematoda, Chromadorea, Rhabditida, Rhabditidae.
CCUGCACCUUCUGCUGGUGGAAGAUCCAUUAUGUAUACAUAGACACACACUAUGCGAAUAUACAUACACAAACAAACACACACCUUUUCAAAUUGUAGAGACCACCCUCCCUGCCCCUUCUUCUCCUCUUCCAC